GUGCUGACUUCAAUAGCACCUAUACUAAAAUUAGCAUACUAGAAAGAAGAUAAGCAUGGUCUCUGUACAAUGAUGGCAUACAGAUUUGUGCAGUGUCCCAUAUUUUU
RNAcentral lists this small nuclear RNA (107 nucleotides) under Catagonus wagneri (Chacoan peccary). Lineage: Eukaryota; Metazoa; Chordata; Mammalia; Artiodactyla; Tayassuidae. The record is from RNAcentral.